GGGUGAGUAACACGUGAGCAAUCUGCCCUUGACUCUGGGAUAAGCGUUGGAAACGACGUCUAAUACCGGAUACGAGCCUCAACCGCAUGGUUAGGGGUUGGAAAGAAUUUCGGUCAAGGAUGAGCUCGCGGCCUAUCAGCUUGUUGGUGAGGUAAUGGCUCACCAAGGCGACGACGGGUAGCCGGCCUGAGAGGGUGACCGGCCACACUGGGACUGAGACACGGCCCAGACUCCUACGGGAGGCAGCAGUGGGGAAUAUUGCACAAUGGGCGCAAGCCUGAUGCAGCAACGCCGCGUGAGGGAUGACGGCCUUCGGGUUGUAAACCUCUUUUAGCAGGGAAGAAGCGCAAGUGACGGUACCUGCAGAAAAAGCACCGGCUAACUACGUGCCAGCAGCCGCGGUAAUACGUAGGGUGCAAGCGUUGUCCGGAAUUAUUGGGCGUAAAGAGCUCGUAGGCGGUUUGUCGCGUCUGCUGUGAAAACCCGAGGCUCAACCUCGGGCCUGCAGUGGGUACGGGCAGACUAGAGUGCGGUAGGGGAGAUUGGAAUUCCUGGUGUAGCGGUGGAAUGCGCAGAUAUCAGGAGGAACACCGAUGGCGAAGGCAGAUCUCUGGGCCGUAACUGACGCUGAGGAGCGAAAGCGUGGGGAGCGAACAGGAUUAGAUACCCUGGUAGUCCACGCCGUAAACGUUGGGAACUAGAUGUGGGGGCCAUU
Molecule: ribosomal RNA, 715 nt
Filed under: Microbacteriaceae bacterium
Lineage: Bacteria; Bacillati; Actinomycetota; Actinomycetes; Micrococcales; Microbacteriaceae
Description: bacterial SSU rRNA
Rfam family: Bacterial small subunit ribosomal RNA
Source: RNAcentral